GAUGAAGAACGUAGCGAAAUGCGAUACGUAAUGUGAAUUGCAGAAUUCAGUGAAUCAUCGAGUCUUUGAACGCACAUUGCGCCCCCUGGUAUUCCGGGGGGCAUGCCUGUCUGAGCGUCAUUACAACCCUCAAGCUCAGCUUGGUGUUGGGCCCCGCCGCCCCGGCGGGCCCUAAAGUCAGUGGCGGUGCCGUCCGGCUCCGAGCGUAGUAAUUCUUCUCGCUCUGGAGGUCCGGUCGUGUGCUCGCCAGCAACCCCCAAUUUUUUUCAGGUUGACCUCGGAUCAGGUAGGGAUACCCGCUGAACUUAAGCAUAUCAAUAAGCGGAGGA
Molecule: unclassified non-coding RNA, 329 nt
Filed under: soil metagenome
Description: partial contains 5.8S ribosomal RNA, internal transcribed spacer 2, and large subunit ribosomal RNA
Rfam family: 5.8S ribosomal RNA (bases 1-120)
Source: RNAcentral